Molecule: transfer RNA, 76 nt
Filed under: Litchfieldella qijiaojingensis
Lineage: Bacteria; Pseudomonadati; Pseudomonadota; Gammaproteobacteria; Oceanospirillales; Halomonadaceae
Description: Halomonas qijiaojingensis tRNA-Thr
Rfam family: tRNA
About the family: Transfer RNA (tRNA) molecules are approximately 80 nucleotides in length. Their secondary structure includes four short double-helical elements and three loops (D, anti-codon, and T loops). Further hydrogen bonds mediate the characteristic L-shaped molecular structure. tRNAs have two regions of fundamental functional importance: the anti-codon, which is responsible for specific mRNA codon recognition, and the 3' end, to which the tRNAs corresponding amino acid is attached (by aminoacyl-tRNA synthetases). tRNAs cope with the degeneracy of the genetic code in two manners: having more than one tRNA (with a specific anti-codon) for a particular amino acid; and 'wobble' base-pairing, i.e. permitting non-standard base-pairing at the 3rd anti-codon position.
Source: RNAcentral
GCCGCAAUAGCUCAGCUGGUAGAGCAGCGCACUCGUAAUGCGCAGGUCGGCGGUUCGAGUCCGCCUUGCGGCACCA